Molecule: non-coding RNA, 92 nt
Organism: Termitomyces sp. T159_Od127
Lineage: Eukaryota; Fungi; Basidiomycota; Agaricomycetes; Agaricales; Lyophyllaceae
Source: the annotation of a GenBank genome assembly
GCAUCAAUAGUGUAGCGGUUAACAUUGGAUCUUCCCACCGAAUGUACCAGUGCUGUGAGGUCUAGCCCCGGGUUCGACUCCCGGUUGAUGCA